RNAcentral lists this ribosomal RNA (1077 nucleotides) under Calocedrus decurrens. RNAcentral describes it as "eukaryotic LSU rRNA". The stretch from base 698 to 851 matches the Rfam family "5.8S ribosomal RNA". The record is from RNAcentral. Lineage: Eukaryota; Viridiplantae; Streptophyta; Pinopsida; Cupressales; Cupressaceae.
CAUUGUCGGUUCGAGGCCCUUAACCGUGUAGGGGAUGGAGAAGGGCACGGCAUGCCGAGCUCGCCUCUUUCCCCGCCCCCGAGAUCUCAGCGACGAGCAAAGCUUCAAAGCGCACGCCGUUGGGGUCAAGGGUGAUCGAAUGCCGCGGUCGAAUGUGUUGCAUCCCCGCGGGGGGAGAGACCCGGAUCAAAUGUCGAUUGCAAUCGGUGCCUGCCAACGACGUUUACGUCGGGAGGUAGUGGUCCUGCUCGGUUGCAGCGAGAGGAGAUCCGGGCCCCUGCCCCCGUUGAGGCCGCACGCAUCGCGACUGCGUGCGCGGCGCUGUGCCAGGGAUCCGUCGUUUCGACGGCGGCAAGUCGGGACUGCCGCAACCCCCUGUCGUGUUGAUCGGGCGGCAACUCGUCGCUCGGAGGGUUCUGUGUUCAGGAUGGGAGCACGCGCAUGAUUGCGCGUGGUAGGACCCCCGAUCCGGUGGCACGGCUCUCCCCCGCGGCGAGUUCCAGCUCUGCGAGGCGACGGGGCGGGGACACACCGCGCCGUUCUUCGGUGCACCCGUCGGGUGCCCGGAGCGCGUGCGGGAUGUGUCAACACCCAACACACGGGUGCAUCACGCACCCCGGAAAUCCAAACAUUGAAAAGUGCGAUCGAUCGCCUUGCGCGUUCAGGUCGACGAAAGAGAAAAACAUAACGAAAUCACGACUCUCGGCAACGGAUAUCUCGGCUCUCGCCACGAUGAAGAAUGUAGCGAAAUGCGAUACUUAGUGUGAAUUGCAGAAUCCCGUGAAUCAUCAAGUCUUUGAACGCAAGUUGCGCCCGAGGCCUCGGCCAAGGGCACGUCUGCUUGGGCGUCGCACUCCAAAAUCGCCCUCCCUCGCGAGGAGCGUAGAUGGCCGUCCGUGUCCGCAAGCGGUGGCGGUCGGCUGAAAUGAGCACGAGGUCCGUCGAUCCGUUGCGACGAGCGGUGGCUCUCAAAGGCCGGCGUUGGUUUGUGCGGAUCGAGCGACGCCUCGUGAGGAACUUUACCGUGGGUGCAGCGGGCCUGCCAGAGUGCGGGCGUGCUGCAUCUCUAUCGCGUCC